Molecule: RNA transcript, 1599 nt
Organism: Nomascus leucogenys (northern white-cheeked gibbon)
Lineage: Eukaryota; Metazoa; Chordata; Mammalia; Primates; Hylobatidae
Gene name: T-complex protein 1 subunit zeta-like
Exons: 10
Source: RefSeq, a predicted model, not a curated record
UAUGGCGGCGGCGAAGACCGUGAACCCCAAGGCCAAGGUGGCCCGAGCGCAGGCGGCGCUGGCGUUCAACAUCAGCGCGGCGCGGGGUCUGCAGGACGUGCUGAGGACCAACCUGGGGCCCAAAGGGACCAUAAAGAUCCUUGUUUCUGGCGCUGAAGACAUCAAGCUUACUAAAGACACAGGACAAAUUCAACACCUAACAGCUUCCUUAAUAGCAAAGGUAGCAACAGCCCAGGAUGAUAUAAUUGAUGAUGGUACGACUUCCAAUGUCCUAAUCAUUGGAGAGCUGCGAAACAGGUGGAUCUCUACAUUUCUGAAUGUCGGUUUUGACAUGAUUCAGAGUGGUUUGCGCAGUGAACACCCAAGUGUGCUUUAUAGUUCCCUUGGCUUUGACCCUGUGCUAGAGCAUUGCCUGCUCUUCUCCUCUGCAUUGAAAGGAAUAUUUAUCCUUUUAAAUGUAUUCAGAAAGCCAGCACAUUAUAUUACCUCGUGUUCAAAGGGCCUUCAUCCCAGAAUAAUCACUGAAGGAUUUGAAGCUGUGAAGGAAAAGGCCCUUCAUUUUUUGGAAGAAGUCAAAGUAAGCAGAGAGAUGGACAAGGAAACACUUAAAGAUGUGGCCAGGGCAUCUCUUUGUAGUAAAGUUCAUGCUGAACUUGCAGAUGUCUUAACAGAGGCUGUAGUGGGCUCCAUUUUGGCCAUUAAAAGAAAAGAUGAACCUACUGAUCUCUUCAUGAUUUUGUGAUCAUUGACAAGAAACAUAAAUUUGAAACUGAUACAAGAGAAGUGAAUUCUGGCUUUUUUUUUUUACAAGAGUGCAGAAGAGAGAAAAACUCAUAAAAGCUGAAAGAAAAUUCAUUGAAGAUAGAGUUAAAACAAAUAAUAGAACUGAAAAGGAAAGUCUGUGGUGAUUCAGAUAAAGGAUUUAUUAAUCAAAAGGGAAUUGACCCCUUUUCCUUAGAUGCUCUUUCAAAAGAAGGCAUAGUCGCUCUUCACAGAGCUAAAAGGAGGAAUAUGGAGAGGCUGACUCUUGCUUGUGGUGGGGUGGCCCUGAAUUCUUUUGAGGACCUAAGUCCUGAUUGCUUGGGACAUGCAGGACUUGUAUAUGAGUAUACAUUGGGAGAAGUUCACCUUUAUUGAGAAGUGUAACAACCCUCGUUCUGUCACAUUAUUGAUCAAAGGACCAAAUAAGCCCACACUUAGAUCAAAGAUGCAGUAGGGGAUGGCUUGAGGGCUGUCAAAAAUGCUAUUGAUGAUGGUAAGAUCCUCACCAUAUUUCAAUUCUAUUAAAUUGUUUUGCUGGUCUGAAAAGCAUGGCUGAAUACUGUGUUCUUUUAUCAGUAGUUUACACAGCCAGACACCAUGCAAAAGCAGUCUUCCCUUUAGAAUGACUGAUGGUAUGCUAAGGUUUUUCAUAGCAUAUCAUUAUUAAAGGUGAAUACAAAUAAAUGAACUAAUACUGAUCUGUUGAAAGAGCUGCCAGUGGCCAGUGAAGCCAUUCUGGUUGGACCAUUCUCCUAUUUGAUGUUAGUCGCUUGUAUUGUGGCUUUCAAAUGCAGUACUUAAAUUGAUGUGGUCAUAGUGAAUUUGUAAGGAAUUAAU